This 446-nucleotide ribosomal RNA is filed under the name uncultured bacterium. RNAcentral's name for it is "partial 16S ribosomal RNA". It matches the Rfam family "Bacterial small subunit ribosomal RNA", at positions 330 to 793 of the family's 1533-position model. The record is from RNAcentral.
GCCAGACUCCUACGGGAGGCAGCAGUGGGGAAUAUUGCACAAUGGGGGGAACCCUGAUGCAGCGACGCCGCGUGGGUGAAGGAGUACUUCGGUACGUAAAGCCCUAUCAGCAGGAAAGAAAAUGACGGUACCUGACUAAGAAGCCCCGGCUAACUACGUGCCAGCAGCCGCGGUAAUACGUAGGGGGCAAGCGUUAUCCGGAUUUACUGGGUGUAAAGGGAGCGUAGACGGCAGUGCAAGUCCGGAGUGAAAGCCCGGGGCUCAACCCUGGGACUGCUCUGGAAACUGCAAAGCUGGAGUGCGGGAGGGGCAGGCGGAAUUCCUAGUGUAGCGGUGAAAUGCGUAGAUAUUAGGAGGAACACCAGUGGCGAAGGCGGCCUGCUGGGCUUUAACUGACGCUGAGGCUCGAAAGCGUGGGGAGCAAACAGGAUUAGAUACCCGAGUAA